This is a long non-coding RNA of Liolophura sinensis, 537 nucleotides long. RefSeq lists it as uncharacterized. NCBI's taxonomy places the organism in Eukaryota, Metazoa, Mollusca, Polyplacophora, Chitonida, Chitonidae. The transcript has 3 exons. The record is from RefSeq and is a predicted model, not a curated record.
CAUGGACGAACAACCCCACCACCAACCGACAACCCACCCAUAACAACGACGACAACCGAAAGCCCAACACCAAGGAGAACAACGCAAAGGCUCAUAACAGAAUGCGAAGCAGGGAGAAUCAGAGCUCACAGUGAUCAAAAUAAAUUUGAGGUGUUGACUCAAGACGAAAACGGCACAGAUACAUGGGUCGUGUCUGACUGUCAACUUUCGGCGCUCAUAUUUAAUGAGUCGUUCUGCGCUUGCGUGUAUCCUCCUCAGCCUCCGUGCCCUUAUAAUGCGGUCGAGGGGUCGUCUGUGGAGUAUCAGGAAGCCUUGCCUCCCUUCAAUGUCCAUGUUUGCACCCCUAUUAACACAUUCUGGAAUCAGACCGGCUGCAGGUGUGAUUGGAAUCCCGACGGGCCUCAGGCAGUCCCCGUACCUGACGUUACACCAUGUGAGACGAUUUUUAGUACAGACUUUAAUUCUAGCCCAGUUCCUAAUGUCAUAGUAAGGGGAGCGACUUCUGUCAGAACAGUUGACGCACUUGGUGCAAACGGU